GCCUCUCUCUCAUCUAGUGUUUGUCCCAGAUUCUCUUUCAGCAAAAUAAAUGACCCAUCACUGAAGAUAAAGAAUAAAAGGUCCACUUCUCAAAGGAUAGGAAAGCACUGAUGCAAUACUUUUUCCUAAAAAUGGUAGUUCAUAAGCACCAUGUAAGCAAAAUACUGCAAUGAUCAGCAAAAGUUUAAUAUUGAAAUACAGUUUUUAUUCUUUAAUCAGCAAGGACAUAGGUACUUUCCCUUCACCUUUACUGAAACUUAAAAGUGGAAAGUGCAUCAAGGCAAUUGACUACUAAAGUGAUCAUCCUAUCUUGGGAUCUAAAGGUUCUUUUUUAAAUCCAUUUCAUUAAUCGUUUAUAUAUAAUUAACCAAAAAAAACAACAUGGCAGUAUGAACAUUACUGGAUGCUGGACUGUGGACUCUAGUUCCUGCAACAGAGUCAAAAGCAAAAGGGAAGAAGAGCACCCCCAGGGUAUGGUCGGGUUUUAAGUGCAAAGAACGAUUAAAAAACACAUGUCAGUGAAGGAAGACGAAUAUGAAGAUGAAGAAAUAAAAAUAACCACAGACAAGCCAUUAUAUGGACAAAUGAACUGAGAAAAAAAUUGCAAGUGAAACAUAAAUAAAGAAUAAAGCAUGUCAAUCCAAGUUCAAAAUCCGUUGCAAAGAUGCAAAUUUAAGUUUCUAAUUCAAUUUUAUUGACUAAUUGUCCUUGACUAAUUUUGUUCACUAAGUUUCUAACAACCUGUUUUUAAUCAUUAACAUUUUUUCCAUAACGUUUUCUUAACAAGUGAUAAAUAACUUUGCUUUAUAAUUAUUUGUUCUUUGACUCUGUCAAUGUGAGCUUGUUGAAAUUAUUGGUCCUAAGCCCAGAUAAAGAGAGGAGGGUUGCCGAAGCCCGAAGGUCAAUCGGAAACAGCUUCUAUACCACAUAAAGUUAGGGGUAAGAUUGCAUACAUCUUACCCACCCCAAACCCCACUUGUGGGAUUACAUUGGAUUUAUGUUGUUUUAUAAUUAUUGUAUAUUAUCGCCCUCUUCAAAACAAAACUUACAGGCAUUAUAAAUUACUACUUACACUUAUUAAGAAGCAAUUAGUUGGCUGUCUUUCUAGGCACAGACUUACACUUAAGCACUGCCUAAACAACGCAAAGUACUCUUUUAACAAAUUGCUACAUAAUCCAACAAGUUCUGCCGCAGCUACAUAAAUUGAUAAUCUUCUAUCUUUUAGCAAUCCAUGUGAUCCAGUUCAUUGGAUUUCCAGUCACAGUAAACCAUGAGGCAUAAAAUGAGUAGGUAUUCCAUGGCCCCAACAGUAUCAGUAAUCAAACCACAAUGUCCUUUUAUCACUUUUAAGCUGAUACGGGGGACUCAAAGUAUGCAACUGCCUGAACAAGACGCAGAAGGAAAGCAUAUUGCACUUUUACCUUUUCUGAUGUGAAGUAAUUGUCCUGCAUAUCAAGGAAUAAAAUGGAAGUGUAGGUAAGAACUUUGUGGCUAAGAAAUUUCAUCCAAGAUGGCUUGGAUGUCCACUUUUAGGUCCUUUUUGAUCAUUGAGUACUUUUAAUAUCCUAUUCUGCACUGCUAUUCGUUGGACAGAAGAACUUUUAUCCACCUCACAACUCACUAGCAAAGGAAAAGAAUACGCAUCAAUGUGUCACGGCCAAUAUUAUUCGUGCCAGAAUAAAGGACAAACAAGUCAAAUUGUUUGAGAUAUUCCUGAUCCACACAACAGAAUAUUCAAGGUGCUCUACUAUCUUAUCCCUUUUAAAUCAUGUCCAAUUACUUUUCAGGACUUCAACAAAGAUGUCUCAUUUUAAAAAGUAUCAGUUGACUGUUAAAGGACCUGGAGGCUAAUCUAAAACUUUCUACUUUUGUGGAGGUAGAGUCCUGAGAAAAAGUGAAAAGUGUAGGUUCCACGUAAGUCACCUGAGCACAGCUAAGCCUUUCAAGUUUUAGGUCCCUCAGAUUCCAAGGGAACUUUAGCUAUCUAUUUCUGCUCUGCCAUUUGCUGAGCCUUAGCACUUUUUCCACAGUUUAUAAAUGCCAAGAAAUCCACCAUGGAGCAAUUCUUGUGAUACCUAUAUGCUUAUAAAAUUACUAAUUUUUGGGCAUGCAUUUAUCGCGCAUCAAUGUGAAGUAAUCUUCUUAAAACAACAUACUAUUAAUAUAUAAAUAGAUGUGUUCCAUUAUAAAAUUAAAAUUUUAAAAAGUUUCAAGUUCAUGAAUAUAAUGAACGUUAAUUAUCUUUUGCAAUUUAAUUAAACCCACUUCAGUGAUUCUUCGACCAGUUCGCUCCAAACUUGCUUUAGAUCUUCAUAACAUCAUAAUAAGAUUGAAGGGUUGCAACUCGUUGUCACUAAAAUUAAAAGCAACUUCCACUACUUUUUUCUUCCACUACUCUUCUUCGAAGAAAUUCCAUGAUUUACUUCGCUAUUUCUUAAUGUAGUCUACUUUGCAGAAGUUCCUGGUUUUAGUAAAAUGCACUCAGUUACAGAAUCAAGCUUAAAGUUGAUAUUUAAAAAAAUUCAUAAAGAAGUCCAUUGAAUAAUAACUCUGAUUAAAACCUUUCUAAUCCUUGGGUUACAAAGCAAAGGAAAAUGAAGCAUUAAGAAGAACGCAUCUUUAAGGUUCAAGGUCUGUCAUUACUUCUGUUAAAUGAAAUUCCAGACUUGGUAUAAAUUAAUUUCAUUUCAUAGUAAAUUGAGAAGCAAAAUUACAAUUUUGCUUUUUAAAAGAUAUUUAAGUUAUUUCAAUUCCCUAAAAUGACUUUUCCCCUGCAAAUUUAUUUGCAUUAGAACUUUUAACUAACUUAAGGGAAUAUUUAAUGAAAACUGACAAAAAUAUUUUAUAAUUGUGUUCCUAUAUUUUAUAGGGACAUCCAAUUUUUGAGUUGGAGAAAAUAUUGAACCUGAAUCUUUAAACUCUUAAGAUGCGAAUACAGGAAACGUGAAUUAGAGGUAAGAGACUUGAGUAAAGCAGUUAAGACAAAAGGAGACCAAUUUCUAUACUAAAUUGAUCUUAUAAAAACUCUUUUCCCAGAAAAUUCCUAUUUCUUGUCAUUGCUAGACUUUAUUUAGGGCAAAAGAUUUAUUGAUGGUUCAUUCCAUUCCGAAGUUAGUAAUGUUCAUGAAGUUGGCGAACUUUCCUCUAAAUAGCUUGUUUGGAUGGUUGUUACCUAUUGCAUUGUAGUGUAUUAUGUUGCUAGUUUAAAUAUACUGUUGUUUUAGUGGUUUCUUAAAUUUUAGAGUUAAUGGUUAAAAAAACACCUGAACUAUCACUUUUUUCGCGAGUUUCACACCCAAAUUAUGAGUUGUUCCCUUUUCCUAUAUCACCAUAAAUGUAUUAAAAUACACCACGGCGCUGAUUAAACUAGCUAUUAGUUGUUCCCGGUGUGCACUUUCUGUUAUCACCCUCUUUCAUUGCCAUUUUUGAAGCCAAUAGAAAAAAUCUUUCCCACCUAAACUAUCACUAUCUACGCAAGUAGAUGUUUUAUUUAUGAAACAAUGUUAUAUGCAUCAAAGAAUGCAUUCGGAGGCUAAUCCAGAUCAAUAUUUUAAAACAUACAGUAAAGACAAUGUAGAGCUUCCUAACUUUUGUGGAUGAAGAGUCAUACCAUAAAGUGAAAAGAGUAGAUUCUAUCUCAACAAGAACAUUGAGUUGUGGACCUGUGGAUUCUCUUCCCACUUUGUAGUUGCCUACUGUUAUUUUUCCUUCUACUCCACUUUCACAUUUCACAGCACCCCAUAAGUUUACAGCAUACCUGCUCAAGUUCAGUAUUCAAAGUACAAUAGAAAAUAGAGAGCAAGAAGGGAAAAAAAAAAUCAGUUCAAUGUUGAAAAAGGAGAACAGUGGGGGUUUUGAUGGCAGUAGCAACAACUGGUCAAGGGUGUGUGACAGUUGCCGUUCCACCGCAUGUACCGUUUACUGCAGGGAAGAUUCCACCUUCUUGUGUGCCGGCUGUGACGCCCGCAUGCAUGCAGCAAAUCUGUUGGCUUCUCGUCACGAGCGUGUGUGGGUUUGCGAGGCCUGCGGACGUGCCC
This 4037-nucleotide long non-coding RNA is filed under the name Solanum tuberosum (potato). Its description in RNAcentral is "long non-coding RNA (STUB_LNC003247)". The record is from RNAcentral. Lineage: Eukaryota; Viridiplantae; Streptophyta; Magnoliopsida; Solanales; Solanaceae.